This 67-nucleotide small RNA is filed under the name Lysinibacillus xylanilyticus. Its description in RNAcentral is "Bacillaceae-1 RNA". It matches the Rfam family "Bacillaceae-1 RNA". The record is from RNAcentral. Lineage: Bacteria; Bacillati; Bacillota; Bacilli; Caryophanales; Bacillaceae.
AAUAUUGGAACUCAGUCUAAGAAUGUCACGUCCUGUGGCAACGACUGAGAGACCAACUUCGUGCCGC